UACGUAGGGGGCAAGCGUUAUCCGGAUUUACUGGGUGUAAAGGGAGCGUAGACGGCGAAACAAGUCUGAAGUGAAAGCCCGGGGCUCAACCCCGGGACUGCUUUGGAAACUGUGUUGCUAGAGUGCUGGAGAGGUAAGCGGAAUUCCUAGUGUAGCGGUGAAAUGCGUAGAUAUUAGGAAGAACACCAGUGGCGAAGGCGGCUUACUGGACGGUAACUGACGUUGAGGCUCGAAAGCGUGGGGAGCAAACAGG
RNAcentral lists this ribosomal RNA (253 nucleotides) under uncultured bacterium. Its description in RNAcentral is "partial 16S ribosomal RNA". It matches the Rfam family "Bacterial small subunit ribosomal RNA", at positions 524 to 776 of the family's 1533-position model. The record is from RNAcentral.